Molecule: ribosomal RNA, 393 nt
Filed under: uncultured bacterium
Lineage: Bacteria
Description: partial 16S ribosomal RNA
Rfam family: Bacterial small subunit ribosomal RNA
Source: RNAcentral
AUACGGAGGAUCCGAGCGUUAUCCGGAUUUAUUGGGUUUAACGGGUGCGUAGGUGGUUUGAUAAGUCAGCGGUGAAAUUUUGCAGCUCGACUGUAAAAGUGCCUUCGAAACUGGUUUCCUUGAGUGUAGAUGAAGUAGGCGGAAUUUGUGGUGUAGCGGUGAAAUGCAUAGAUAUCACGAGGAACUCCGAUUGCGCAGGCAGCUUACUAAACUACUACUGACGCUCAGGCACGAAGGCGUGGGGAUCAAACAGGAUUAGAUACCCUGGUAGUCCACGCAGUAAACGAUGAUUACUAGCUGUUUGCGAUACAAUGUAAGCGGCUGAGCGAAAGCGUUAAGUAAUCCACCUGGGGAGUACGUUCGCAAGAAUGAAACUCAAAGGAAUUGACGGGG